AAGGAUAGAAACACAACAGCAUGUGCUGAAGCGCAUGCAGGCGGACCCGUGUGUGCUUCACAGGCCUCCGCUUUCAACAUAGUUGUCGCUGCAGCGUGGUCACGAUCGCCGACGAUGCCGCCAUUGUUUCCUGCAGGACAACGUCAGCCAACUCUCUUGAAUCGAUUGGCGUCUGCCACGCCAACCCGAAAGGCGGCUGCAUUGCCCAACUCGACAACCUCGCUUUCAUCGACCGCCAACAGCGUCCGCUGCAGCUCACCAGGCCUCCCUUCGUCGUCUACCGCCGCCACGAUCAGCAGCAGCAAGGAAUCCCUCUCCCUGCUCAACCGUGUUGAUGAACUCGCAGGUACGACGCAGCCGCACAGCACGACGAGGGCGUUCAGCUGCUGCUGCUGCUGCGACGACGAUAAUAAAGGGACGGACAUGCUGCUCGGCGAGCUUCUCUUCGGUGCCGAUGGAAGACGGGGUGCCGAUCUGUCUUCUCCGCGUAGUCCUCCUCCUGCGGUGUCACCUGCCUCGCUUGGCAUUGCGACUCCUGCGUCUGCUGCUGCCACGGCAUCUGGAGCCGAGCCGCCACGCCCGCGCCGCGGUCGCCCGCCGCCACACCUUAAGCAGACAACCUUGGAUCUAGGUCAGGCGGAGCCGACGAUGGCCACGCGUUGCCCGCUCUGCCGCAUGUUGUACACUGCCGAGAACGACGAGGACGCCGCGCUGCACCGGCGCUUCUGCCGAGAAGGGCAGCUGCGUCGCCGCGGCCGGGGCCCAUACGAUGCGCCGUCGUCCUUCACGGGUGCCUGCCGCUCGCAACGCGCUCGGACGGAAACCGCAGCGAGUCCGUUGGCGUCCCUGUCACGCCCGGCAGCGGUAGCAGUGCGCAUGCUGGAGGAGCUGAGUGGUGCAAGCUUGGGACACUCGCCCAGUCCUUUGCUAGGGAGCACCACAGCGACGGUACGACGAGGUGGUCCGCGUCGCCGCGAGAUCGGGGCUCGCGGGUUUGCCAAGGCAACCUACACGGCGACCGAGACGCGGAAUACGGCGGCAGAUGCCACAGUCUCCCUGUGCACCUGUGUCCUCUGCCCGCGCUCGUCGUUGUCCUCGCCGCCCCACCUCUCCUCACCUCUGGCGGUGUUUCGCAUCUCUCUCAACGCGUGUGGUGUGGCGGAUAGCAAUGGAGGCUGCACGGCGCUCAGGCUAUUGGAGCUGCUGGACUUCACCCCAGUUGUACUACGCGCCGCCGCCGAGGGUGUGGCUGACCCGCAGACGGCAUCCUCGUCCGUCUUGCGCGGAAGCGUCCCUGCCGCGCCGACAGUGAGGGGCAGCGCUGCGUCGACUGUUUAUGUGGUAUGCGUGGUAGACACCGUGCUGCGACUGCUUCUAUGCGCCGUGGUCGGGGAGCCGCGGCGGCGGGAGCAAGAUCCAGAGCUGUGCGUGGAGCGGCGCGCUGACGGGGCAACGGUGUGCAGCACACGUCGGCACUUCACGCACGGCGACGUAGCGGGACUUUGGGUGCUCUCCCCUGCCGAGCUCAGCGCCGCGCAGAAAGCGUGGGAGAAGAGCACCGCGGCACCGUUUGCAUCGACCCGUCAGAUGCUGGAGAGCUUUUUUGGUACGCGCGCAGGCGGUGGUGCCCCAUCUUCGGCUCAAUCAAGCGCCGCUCACGUCACUGAGAAGGCCCACGAGCGGUGUCAACAGGCGGCUGGGGUCGCACUACAUGCGCUGGCCCAAUACCUCGUGUACGGCAGCAGUCUGUGCCCUUCGCGGCAACUCUCUUAUUCACAGGCGGCCCUCGCAGCGGCGGAGCACCUGGGCACCGGCUUUAUGGAGCAGUGCUUGGCAGUCGCUUCCUCCUGCUGCCCCGCCGGUUCCACGCCUACACCACGCGAAGACGGGGCAGAGCCGCGGCCGCUGUACACACACGGCGACGGCGCCGAUGGCGGCAGCGACAGUGACGACGCCAACGAAGAUGCCAGUGGGGUCAUCGGUGAAUGACGAGACCGCCGCAGCGGCAUCGUCAUGAUUCCUGAAGCGCGGCCGGCGCGUGAGCGGGGGAGGGGGUUCUGCCGCUACAGUGCAAGCGGUGUUUUGCACCAGUGCGCGCCUGUGGUAUAGCGCGCAUAGGAGAGGCGCCCACACGGUAGCAGCCGCAGCAUCCGCUUACCGACCCACUCACCCCAUUUUCGCGGCCCUGCAUAAAAGGUGAGGGUGUGCUGGUAACGAUUGGGCCGCACCGUUGCCCCAGGCACGCGCACGCACACAUACACCGAUGCACGUACGCAUAGGCAUCGACAUAGAUAGCUGUAGCCCUACAUACGCGCAGCGGUCAACGACAUAAAUCGAUGCAUAUUACAUAUCUAUAGAGAUAAAUAUCUACAUACAUGCGCGGGAUGCGUGCACGAGAUGGGGAGGCGGCACACACGUGUGCGUUCUGUGACGCCCCCAUGCACGGGGGGGGGGGGGGCGGUCCAUUCCUGUGUGGAUGGGUCUGCCUCUACACUCUACCUCUCCCUCCGACCUCUACUGCAUUGCCCUUCUUGCCCCGCGUGAAUGGUGCACCCCUCAACCUUCUCUCGCCUUGACGCUGAACACACGCGCACACGCCGUGAUGCGCAUACGCACGUGCGCCUUGACAUUUUGGGAGAGAAG
RNAcentral lists this unclassified non-coding RNA (2643 nucleotides) under Leishmania donovani. RNAcentral describes it as "gene:LdHU3.03.0170(CDS-product:zinc-finger_of_ace tyl-transferase_ESCO_putative)". The record is from RNAcentral. Lineage: Eukaryota; Euglenozoa; Kinetoplastea; Trypanosomatida; Trypanosomatidae.